RNAcentral lists this transfer RNA (114 nucleotides) under Aspergillus alliaceus. It matches the Rfam family "tRNA". Rfam says of the family: Transfer RNA (tRNA) molecules are approximately 80 nucleotides in length. The record is from Rfam by way of RNAcentral. Lineage: Eukaryota; Fungi; Ascomycota; Eurotiomycetes; Eurotiales; Aspergillaceae.
GGCAAGAUGACCGAGUGGUUAAGGUGCGCGACUCAAGUGUUCUAACUUGUCCUAGACCAACUAGGGUGUCUUCGCGUGUCGCAAGACGCGUGGGUUCGAAUCCCACUCUUGUCA